Camelus dromedarius (Arabian camel) is the source of this 1414-nucleotide long non-coding RNA. RefSeq lists it as uncharacterized. The transcript is spliced from 3 exons. The record is from RefSeq and is a predicted model, not a curated record. NCBI's taxonomy places the organism in Eukaryota, Metazoa, Chordata, Mammalia, Artiodactyla, Camelidae.
GAUAGCAGUGCGCAGGCGCAGGGCGGGAAGUGGGGUGGUGUGCGAGGGGCGGGGCCCUGGGGGGAGGGGGCAAUGGACGGCAAGGGAGGUAGACGAGGGGGUCGAGAGCUGCACCGGGAGCUGCAGGGAACGAUGAGAGACCAUGAACGUUCCUGGGAUUGACUGGACAAUUUCCCACUGGAGGAUGUGUCACCUUGGACCCUCUGUGGGUCCUUCUCUCAGGAGGUAUAGGUGGCCGCUCCACGUGUGACCUGAGCCCCGUGUCUGUUCUGAGACCCAGAGCUUUGACCUGGCUUGGCUUUGCCGUCGUAGGCGUCCCUGGGAACGCUGAUGGCCACAGCUUAGUCGGACUGAGACCCGGAGACGCAGCAUCCUCUCCUGGAGUCAAAUGCUGCUUCAUCUCCUAAAGAUGCCCCGGGUUGUGGCGGGCCAGCCUCCAGUUCUCCCGAUGCCGGUGGUACAGUGUUGGUCACCUGCCUCCUCCAGGCGACAGUGAUGCUUACUAUGCCUUUUGCCCAGGAUGUCAAGGGACUUGUGCGUGGUUGACAGCUACUCACCAGGCGCGUCCCUGGGAGACACUCCCAGGCCUGCAGCGCUGGCAUUUCAGCCUUGCGGGGGCAGUGUUGCUCCUUGGCACGCUCACAUUAUCAGCUUUUGAUCAGUCAAAGGGGCUCAAAGAAAGAAAAGGUCCCGGCCAGGUAUGUGGUGCUUCCCACGCAAAAAGGAACAAGGGUAGGAGGCCACGAGAGCGCUUGGUUGCAAAAAGCAAGUGUUCAAGUACCUUCUACUUAGAUAGCUCUUUGGCCACAGGCUUUAUUUGCCUCCAGGGCCUGCUUUUGACCCAGUAGGCAUAGGAUGUCUGUGGGGCAGGCAUGAUAUAUAAUGCUAUUUGGAAAUGUAAUAGCUUUACGCAGAGAUAUAAAGUGAUCAAUGUAAAAAUAUUUUGAAACAAAAAAAUAAAAUAGAUGAGUGUCUUGCAGAAUAGCAGCGAAUGAUGCAGGCCAGCAGGCUUGGUCAUCAUUUUUUAAAAUUAUUCUCAGUCUGCUCACUGCUUCCAAAGUAAGUGUCACGAGUCUUACCACGUUAUGAGUCCCCGGCCGUCUAACUUGAGUGCCACAUCUUUACAAGGCACGUGGUCAGCACUUAAGUUUUUGAGGUUUCCGAGUAAAAAAGGAGGUUGAUAAUGAAAUGAGGCAUGAAGGCUGGAAUUGCCAGAAAAUCUGCGGCAAGGGGUCUUUGUCAGUUUUGCUGAUGUUGGAUCCAAGGUGCUCGGGACAGAGAGGGUCCCCCGGCAACUCUCUGUUGAAUUUAUAUAUGCUGGUGUCCAUCCUUAACCAUUCAUUUUUAUUACCUCUCUAGCAUCCAGGAAGGGUGAAUUUGAUUUUUAUGUCCUGGAGUCUUACAUAAAUAAACG